Molecule: non-coding RNA, 91 nt
Organism: Pelobates cultripes (western spadefoot toad)
Lineage: Eukaryota; Metazoa; Chordata; Amphibia; Anura; Pelobatidae
Source: the annotation of a GenBank genome assembly
UCAGGGUGAGGUAGUAAGUUGUAUUGUUGUAAGGGGGUAGAGAUUUUGCCCCCAAUUUGGAGAUAACUAUACAGCUUACUGCCUUCCCAGC